RNAcentral lists this ribosomal RNA (253 nucleotides) under uncultured bacterium. RNAcentral's name for it is "partial 16S ribosomal RNA". It matches the Rfam family "Bacterial small subunit ribosomal RNA", at positions 524 to 776 of the family's 1533-position model. The record is from RNAcentral.
UACAGAGGUCCCAAGCGUUGUUCGGAUUCAUUGGGCGUAAAGGGCGCGUAGGCGGCCUCUUAAGUCGAACGUGAAAUCCCCGGGCUCAACCCGGGAACUGCGUCCGAUACUGGGGGGCUUGAAUCCGGGAGAGGGAUGUGGAAUUCCUGGUGUAGCAGUGAAAUGCGUAGAUAUCAGGAGGAAUACCGAUGGCGAAGGCAGGUCUCUGGGCUGACACUGACGCUCAUGCACGAAAGCGUGGGGAGCAAACAGG